This 73-nucleotide transfer RNA is filed under the name Spirochaetes bacterium GWE1_32_154. RNAcentral's name for it is "tRNA-Thr". It matches the Rfam family "tRNA". From Rfam's summary of the family: Transfer RNA (tRNA) molecules are approximately 80 nucleotides in length. Their secondary structure includes four short double-helical elements and three loops (D, anti-codon, and T loops). RNAcentral also lists the same sequence under 4 other names. The record is from RNAcentral. Lineage: Bacteria; Pseudomonadati; Spirochaetota.
GCCUCCGUAGCUCAGUUGGUAGAGUAUUUCCAUGGUAAGGAAGUGGUCGUCAGUUCGAUUCUGAUUGGAGGCU